GUCGCCCACUGGACCCCACAGGUAUCAAUACAAGCAAUAAUGUGUGAGUCUGUCUGUCAGUGUGAGUGUAUGGGUCUGUCAUGGUUUGUGUGUGUGAGUGUAUGGGUUUGUCAUGGUGUGUGUCAGUCAUGGUGUGUGUGUGUGUGUGUGUGUGUGUGUGUGUGUCUGUCUGUGUUAUGGUGUGUUUGUGUCUGAUGAGGAAAAAUAGAAGAGAAAUCCAGGAACUCUCAAGAUACAAAAAGGCAAAUGUAUUGAACCCACUGCAACAUGGUGUGUGUCUGUCUGUCAUGGUGUGUGUUUCAGUCAUGGUAUGUGUGUGUCAGUCAUGGUGUGUGUCUGUGUCAUGGUGUGUGUGUGUCUGAUGAGGAAACAUAGAAGAGAAGUUCAGGCAAUCUCAGGAUACAAAAAGGCAAAUUUAUUGAACCCACUGCAACGUUUCGACCUACACGGUCUUUGUCAAGCUUGACAAAGACUGUGUAGGUUGAAACGUUGCAGUGCGUUCAAUAAAUGUUCAGUUUUGUAACCUGAGAGUGCCUGGACUUCUCUUCUGUUUUUCCUCAUCAAUACUUGGUUCCUGGUACUGGUACUGGUCUGGUGCACCCAAAUAAAUUUCAGAUGGGUUUGAGUGCAGUUCCACAUUCCUGCUAUAUUAUAUUCGGUGUGUGUGUGUCAUGGUGUGUAUGUGUGUUUGUAUGUAUUGUCUGUCAUAUGCGUGUGUCUGUCAUGGUAUAUGUGUGUGUGUGUGUGCCUGUCAUGGUAUGUGUGUGUUUAGGGUACCAGACCCCUUCCAUUCACAAGGGAAUGGUGUUUUUACUCACCUUUUUUUCCCCAUACCGUGCUGGUCUCCCCUCGACUGGCCCUGCCUCUAUGAUCAUCAAGCUUUGUUUUGUCAUAGGAUUGACUGCUAAACGCUGCACCAAUCAGCAUCUCCUCAUAGAUGCUCCAUGAGGAACGUUCAGUUCCUCCUUGAAGAGCGUGGAGACACUGAAUGUAGGUGAUGCACACUGUGCAGCACUGACACAGGAAGCACCUCUAGUGACCAUCUGAGUGACUCUCACUUGAGGUGUCACUAGGAAGCAAUGUAAGCACUGCCUUUUCUCAUAAAGCUGCAGUGGUCCUGGU
This is a non-coding RNA of Pelobates cultripes (western spadefoot toad), 1122 nucleotides long. NCBI's taxonomy places the organism in Eukaryota, Metazoa, Chordata, Amphibia, Anura, Pelobatidae. The record is from the annotation of a GenBank genome assembly.